UUAACACUUCUCACCCCCUCACCCCCCGUAUCACUAUGCAGCCUUUGACAUCUUCAGAGUGGGAGCUGGGAGAGGGACAAGAGGUAAGAAUCAGCAAAGCACUAAUCUGACAGGUAUGUAGCUCUAUGGCUUUAAUACUACCUGGGUAUAGCAAAUGACAUCCAAAUACUACUUCCUGUUUCUCAUCCAUUCCUCACCUGCUUUUGCGCCAAUUUCUCCUUGCUGGGGAGCUCGAACUCAUUUUCUGGCAUGGCUAGAUGCAAACUCCAGAUAAUCAGUGAUGGCUGCUCCCCUCAGUGGCUACAUCUGACAGUUCAUCUCUAGUUUCUUUGAGCUAAUGUGGAUUUGCUCCUGGCAGGAAACCAUUCCCCAUGGAGGACUCCUUCCCAAGAUGGCUCUUGGCCAGCUCUCUGCCGUUCUCUCGGAGGCAUUCGCAUUGCUGCUCAUUCCAAGGUGUAAGAGCAGAAGGACCCCAGAAAGGAUUUUGCCUGCUGGACCAGGCCUACAUGUUCCAGUGUCCUUCUCUUCUCACCGUGCAACAACAAAAUACGUUUAAAAGCUGGCAAUGAAGAACAAUUGCAUUUUAUUGCCCCUCAUAUUAGUAAAAGGGUCAUUGGCUGAUCUUGACUCAAUCAAAUGAAACAAUGUGCCAGGAGUUCCUGUGAGCAUCACCCAGGUGACACUUCGUUCAGAAGCAGUGCCUUCCUGUGGCAGCAGCUGAAUCCAGUUUCCCAACACUUGCUGUGUCCCAGGGCAUGAAGAAGCAGCUUCCUCAGAGAUCCCACCACCAGCUGAGCACAAGUGCCCCUUCCUCAGGUGUCUGACUUUUAGCUCUGUGGGGCCCCUUCUCUAGGCUCCUACAUUUUAAUAAUCAACUCCUUUCCUUUGCUCCACCAGCCCUAGGGGUGGUGGCUCUUCCUACAGUCACUGCCUCUGUGAAAGUGUUUUGCUUUCUUAGGUUACCUAGUAUUAUGUUCUGAGUUGUGUCCCCUCGAAAGAUGUUGAGUUUCUAACCCCUACUACUUGUGAAUGUGGCCUUAUUUGGAAAUGGGGUCUGUCAAAAACCGAACUCGGCACAAUGAUUAAAACAAAGCAGAAAGGUGAGUUUAUUGCAAGGAUUUCAAUGUGCAGGCCAAGAAACUCUAGGCUCCAGGAGCGAUGAGUUUCAAGUUGCUCACCGACUAAGGUUUU
This is a long non-coding RNA of Panthera uncia (snow leopard), 1191 nucleotides long. RefSeq lists it as uncharacterized. The record is from RefSeq and is a predicted model, not a curated record. The transcript is spliced from 4 exons. NCBI's taxonomy places the organism in Eukaryota, Metazoa, Chordata, Mammalia, Carnivora, Felidae.